GGGGGUAUAGCUCAGCUGGUUAGAGUGCAUUCCUGAUAAGAAUGAGGUCGGAGGUUCAAGUCCCCCUACCCCCA
This 74-nucleotide transfer RNA is filed under the name Candidatus Servula neotermitis. Its description in RNAcentral is "tRNA-Ile". It matches the Rfam family "tRNA". From Rfam's summary of the family: Transfer RNA (tRNA) molecules are approximately 80 nucleotides in length. The record is from RNAcentral. Lineage: Bacteria; Bacillati; Actinomycetota; Actinomycetes; Bifidobacteriales; Bifidobacteriaceae.